GCAAGCAUGAUGAAAUGGUAGCCAUAUUUUUCUUAAGAAAAAAUGUCAUAAGACGUGAGAGUUCGAAUCUCUCUGCUUGUA
Molecule: transfer RNA, 81 nt
Filed under: Apiotrichum gamsii
Lineage: Eukaryota; Fungi; Basidiomycota; Tremellomycetes; Trichosporonales; Trichosporonaceae
Description: tRNA-Leu
Rfam family: tRNA
About the family: Transfer RNA (tRNA) molecules are approximately 80 nucleotides in length. Their secondary structure includes four short double-helical elements and three loops (D, anti-codon, and T loops).
Source: RNAcentral